UUGACACGGGUUUUAUUUCUCCUGGCAUGUGUCUUCCUUCUCCAGGUUAAAGGGCACAGAAGUUUGACUGCAGAUCCACAGCACAUCCAAGCACAUGUGGAGGCAAGGGGUUUUGCAGAAAGACAUGGGACUGAAAGAGAUUCCUUUAGGAGGCAAGAUUACUGUUUUAUCACAAGUGCCCAAUCAUCGGACUGAAGCCGAAGACUUGGCAAUCACGAAAUGGACUUCCAGUUUUGCUAUACAAACGACUGUGGGUCUCGCUUUUGCCUCCUGGGAAGCUGAUUGAUGCUCCUUGCUGUAUGCUCCUAAGGUGUGCAAACAUCUGGAGGUUCUAUUCCAAUGUGCUGCUUCUGUGCCUGCCAUUCCAUGAAGACUUGUAAACAACUAAAAGAACGGAAAUCAUCUUCAAUCUGGCUAUUGUUACUAAUUUUUUCCUGGAGGCUCUCCAUCCACUACUCGGCCUUAGAAAGAAAAAACCCAACAUAUUGGCUGAAGGGUACUUCCUUCUUGAACAAGUAAUGUUUGGAGGUACUUAGUACAGAGUUAUGACCAUUAGAUAAUUUCCAUACAAGGAAGAAUCAGAAGCCCUGAAUAAAAGCAUUUUUGAAAUAAUUAUCCA
This 619-nucleotide long non-coding RNA is filed under the name Calidris pugnax (ruff). RNAcentral describes it as "lncRNA (ENSCPUG00000008777.1)". The record is from RNAcentral. Lineage: Eukaryota; Metazoa; Chordata; Aves; Charadriiformes; Scolopacidae.